CUCUUGCAUGGGAACCCUAAAGGAGAAAAGUAUUCUGGCUCAGAUAAGAAGCAAGUUUUGAAAUACCAACGUGUGUUCUGCAAAAUUCUGGAGUGUGACUCAAGUCAGUGGUGAUCCAGAACAGCAGGGAAAUUCCACCAGAAUCCCUGGUAUCUCACGUGAGUGUCUCUCCUGAGUGUGGGAAAGCAAAGUUCAAGUGUGUGUUCCAGUUCCUACAGCUCCAGCUCAGGGAUAGUCAGAAUCUUGCUCCCACCUUAUCAAUAUUUUAGAAAAGAAAGAGAAACCUUGUGCAGCUGCGGAGGCAAUUUGGAG
Pipra filicauda (Wire-tailed manakin) is the source of this 312-nucleotide long non-coding RNA. RefSeq lists it as uncharacterized. Lineage: Eukaryota; Metazoa; Chordata; Aves; Passeriformes; Pipridae. The transcript is spliced from 3 exons. The record is from RefSeq and is a predicted model, not a curated record.